CUCCAGCCAUCAGCAGGGCACAGCUCCAGGGUUUCCUCUUCCUACAGCCCAGAGCAAAAUCCUUCCCAGAAAAGGAGUAUUUCUGUUUGGGAGACACUCACCUGAGCACAGCUCUGCCUCUUCCCAAGCUGGGCUUGUAUCCUUUGAAACACCUUCCUGGGAAAUCAGUGCUCCCCUUUUCAAGGCAGAAUCCUCACUUCCAGUGAGCGCUCUGCUUUGUGUCCCCUGCCUGCUCAGGAUCUGAGCAAUGCCUGGGCUGCUGAUGCUAAAGCCCACAAUCCAAGGCAAAAUUUACCAGGAAGAGGUGAAAUAGGAGCCGUGGUUGUCAUGACGGACUCAGCCCGUGGGUGCAGCAGGAGAGGGCUGCUGAGCCAGGGGAGAGAAUGGAGCAGAGGGAAAAGUGGGAGCAAAAAUGGCUGGGACAACACAGCAACAGCUUAAACACAGACCUGACAUCACCAAGAAUCACAAAGCAGAGCAGUAACAAUAUUAGGAGGAAGAAGUCCCAGGAGAAGGAGGAGGAAAAAGACAGUAGUUCUGUAUCCCGGGGAUCAGCAUUCCGAGCUGCAGCAGCCAGCGUUGCCUGGACUUGGAGAUGAACUUUGCAGCCAGGACAGCUCCUUUUCCCCGAGCACCAGCGGCUUCAGACUGAGCCCAGCCAAAGAGUUCCCAGAGCAGGAGUGAAGCAGGAGAAUCUGGGAAAAGCUCCUUUACAAAGUUCCCAGUAUGUGAGUGAGGGGACAACGAGGGACUGGGUUAGGACUGGGCCAGGGCAGCCACGAGUAGAGCCCAGCAGACCUGCAGCUGUGGCAACGAUCUCACACUUCACCUCAGGCUGGGCCAGCCUGACUCCCCCUUGGACCUCAGAGCUGGUUUUGUGCUUUUCCUGGCUGACUGGAAAUCCCAGGAGUCCUAGAAGAGCUCCUGGAAGAUUUGUGUCUUUGCUUUCUACAACGAAGAGCAGGAGAAAGCAGCUAAAAGGCCUUCCUACUGCACCUAUGGGAGCUCAUGGACAGACUGUCCAUUUUGAGACAGACUUGAGAGAGGUGUCCCAGAGAGAGUUUUUCUCUUGGAGGCCUGGGAGAAUUCAGGUUGCUGUAAAGAGAAAUCUCCUAAGUGCCUCUGCUGAAGGCUGCAUGAACAGUGCUAGAUGCUGGUGAUUCCACUUAGAAUUGUUUAGGCUGAAAAAGACCUUAAAGAUCACUGAGACCACCUGUAAGAAGUGAAUCCAGCAUGAAGCAGCACAGCCUGAAACACCCUCCACCCAGAGAAGAGCUUUAAUUGAACCUCUGGCUCCAUGUGUAAAGCCAGUCUGUAAGAAAACCACC
This 1328-nucleotide long non-coding RNA is filed under the name Parus major (Great Tit). Its description in RNAcentral is "lncRNA (ENSPMJG00000009747.1)". The record is from RNAcentral. Lineage: Eukaryota; Metazoa; Chordata; Aves; Passeriformes; Paridae.